RNAcentral lists this ribosomal RNA (433 nucleotides) under uncultured bacterium. RNAcentral's name for it is "partial 16S ribosomal RNA". It matches the Rfam family "Bacterial small subunit ribosomal RNA", at positions 29 to 507 of the family's 1533-position model. The record is from RNAcentral.
AAUGAACGCUGGCGGCAUGCCUAACACAUGCAAGUCGAACGAAGGCUUCGGCCUUAGUGGCGCACGGGUGCGUAACGCGUGGGAAUCUGCCCCUUGGUUCGGAAUAACAGUUAGAAAUGACUGCUAAUACCGGAUGAUGACGUAAGUCCAAAGAUUUAUCGCCGAGGGAUGAGCCCGCGUAGGAUUAGCUAGUUGGUGUGGUAAGAGCGCACCAAGGCGACGAUCCUUAGCUGGUCUGAGAGGAUGAUCAGCCACACUGGGACUGAGACACGGCCCAGACUCCUACGGGAGGCAGCAGUGGGGAAUAUUGGACAAUGGGCGAAAGCCUGAUCCAGCAAUGCCGCGUGAGUGAUGAAGGCCUUAGGGUUGUAAAGCUCUUUUAACCGGGAUGAUAAUGACAGUACCGGGAGAAUAAGCUCCGGCUAACUCCGUG